Vicia villosa (hairy vetch) is the source of this 1194-nucleotide long non-coding RNA. RefSeq lists it as uncharacterized. The record is from RefSeq and is a predicted model, not a curated record. Lineage: Eukaryota; Viridiplantae; Streptophyta; Magnoliopsida; Fabales; Fabaceae. The transcript has 3 exons.
AAACAUAAUUGAAAGGGGAUUAGGGUUGCACCUGUGUGGCGAUUCAGCUUAUUCUCUUCUCCUUCUUCGCGAUGAAACGGUGCGGCUCUCUCCCUCUUCCCCGACGAAUUCUCUUCCUCGCCGUGAGAUCACCGUUCGGACACGCCUUCGUCACUUUGCCAUACUCUUAUCUCUCUCGAUCCCUCUCGUAUACAUGGCUAACAACAAACAAGCUCGGAGACCGGCGAUUCGUCCAUCAUGACAAAGACGAAUGAAAUCCAGAAACUCCUUUGCGACAAGAGAGUGUGAAGAUUGAAGUGUGAAGAUGAAUUGAUGAUGAUGUUGCUAUCGUGAAGAUGGAGAAGGGUUGAAGAAUGUGAAGGUGAUGAAGGUUCUGAGAUGAAGAGAGAGUGGUGGAAGAGUCAGGGUAGGGAGAGGAUUGGAGUGAUGAUUGAUGAGUGAAAUAGUUGGAGGAGGUGCAGACGAUGAUGGAGAGCGAGUGAAGAUGCCCCUGUUUCUCUUAUAUAGAAUUUGAAGAAAGGAAGAUAGCUUCAAUGUUCAGGGACAGGUUUAUGUUUAAAGCAACUUGGUGAGUGCAAAGAGACUUGGCAUGGUUGGAUGAGCAAAAUGAAUCAAGGCUAAGGAUAAGAACAAGUCACCCUAGGUUUAGGAAUUUGAUUUUUUUGUAAUGAAUUUUGUAAGAAAAAGAUACACUCGAUUUAUGUAUGGAUACUUGAAUGAUUGUUGAAAGGAUUAUGGGUGGAUUGUAUUUUGUAAUGAGUUCGAAAUCUUGGACUUAAUUGUAAACAAAGUGUACUCUUUUUUUUUUUGUAAUUUUCGGAAGAAUAUACAAUGUACUUUUGUUCUUUAAAAUGAUUCGUAAACUCCGCAUAAACUCAAGUUAAAUCUCGAUGUGGUAUCCCAUAGUUUGAUGACGGAAAAGCCCACAACUCAAACCUUGACUUUUGAUCAUGAUGGAUGUAUAAAUAAUUUGAAUCCACCUUAAGUGAGAGCCUUGAAACAAUGGUAAAAUUGCAACUCUUCAAAAUCCUUAAUCGCUAGAUGAAUGCGUGACUUAUGUUAGAUGGCCUAAUAUGCGAAUGAUUAUAAGAACAAUGAGCCAGUUAGGAGUAAAAAAUGGAUGGGCAAAUUUUGGGGUGCAACAGCUGCCCCUAUUUAAUCAUCUUAAACCUGAAGGAGAGAUUGGUGUUAGCC